UUUAGUUCAAGACAUCAAGAUCCAGAAAAGAAAAAGACAUAAAUCUGUCAAAAAAGCAGCAAAAACGUAGACAGAAACAGGAAGAAACAAAGAAAAGAAACAACACAAAACCCUCUUCUACUGGUUCCUAACUUGCAAUGCAUUCAUCAGCUUUUACAAGCAAUUGCAUUGGUUUUAGAAGAUGUGAACAGACCAGUAAAAGUUGUGCUCUCUAGCUUUUAUCUGUGCUCAACAUAUGUAAAUCAAAAGCAUAAGGUUUCUGAGGUCGUCAAUGGAUUCUUUCAGCCAGAGAAGUGACUGGAGCAGAUGCGUGACAUGAGAAUAGAACAGAAUAGUCUACUGGAACAUCAACUUAUUAAAAAAAAAAGAGAGAGAGAGCAAAAAAGAAAAAGAAAUAUAAACUUUAAUAUAUAAACUACUGUACUAUAUUUUUCUUAUUUUAAAUUGUAUAAUAUUACUGGAAUGUCAUCCAAUACACUUUAUAAGGUCUAUGAAAGUGGAUACAUUAUCAGGUAGCACAUGUCUUGCAUUUAGAUGUAGAACAUAUCAUAAUUGACUCUUCUAAAGCAUAUAUAAAGCAUAUAUACUCAUCAAAUCUUACUCAAUUAAUGGGAGUUAAAAGAGUAAAAAGCAUGUUUGUUUACAUUUACAUGGAUAUUUACAUAUAUUCACUCUGCAGUUUGUUUGACAAAAGGACUUAACAAAUGAGGACAAAAAGGAAAAUAAAUAUUUUACAACUCCGAUUCCCCAAAAGUUGUAAAUGCAAUAAAAAUCAAGAAUCUGUGAUUUGUUAAUUCUCUUUAACCUUUAUUUAACUGAUAAAAGUACAUAGAAA
Molecule: long non-coding RNA, 835 nt
Organism: Cyprinus carpio carpio
Lineage: Eukaryota; Metazoa; Chordata; Actinopteri; Cypriniformes; Cyprinidae
Source: Ensembl